CCGAAAAUGUUGGUUUAAACCCUUCCUAUACUA
RNAcentral lists this transfer RNA (33 nucleotides) under Crotaphytus insularis. RNAcentral's name for it is "partial tRNA-Met". The record is from RNAcentral. RNAcentral also lists the same sequence under 1 other name. Lineage: Eukaryota; Metazoa; Chordata; Lepidosauria; Squamata; Crotaphytidae.